ACCUGGCUGGGUCAGUUGGUAGAGCAUGUGACUCCUGAUCUCAGGGUUGUAGGUUCAAGCCCCAUGUUAGGUA
This 73-nucleotide transfer RNA is filed under the name Ailuropoda melanoleuca (giant panda). It matches the Rfam family "tRNA". From Rfam's summary of the family: Transfer RNA (tRNA) molecules are approximately 80 nucleotides in length. Their secondary structure includes four short double-helical elements and three loops (D, anti-codon, and T loops). Further hydrogen bonds mediate the characteristic L-shaped molecular structure. tRNAs have two regions of fundamental functional importance: the anti-codon, which is responsible for specific mRNA codon recognition, and the 3' end, to which the tRNAs corresponding amino acid is attached (by aminoacyl-tRNA synthetases). tRNAs cope with the degeneracy of the genetic code in two manners: having more than one tRNA (with a specific anti-codon) for a particular amino acid; and 'wobble' base-pairing, i.e. permitting non-standard base-pairing at the 3rd anti-codon position. The record is from Rfam by way of RNAcentral. Lineage: Eukaryota; Metazoa; Chordata; Mammalia; Carnivora; Ursidae.